CUAGACCUUGAUCUGCCUUUCCGAUCAACAUUCCUUUGAGCUUUGAAUUCGACCACUCAGUUUUGUCCAACUUGGUUCGCAAAGUUCCAGACUAUCGUUGUUGUUUCUGUUGCCCCGCAUGGAGUUGUACAGCUUGGCUCUUUAAAUAAAGGAGUCAGUAAAAUUUUCUGUUGGGGACAAUGGCUAUUACUGUGAGACUCAUGGCUUCAAUGGUAGCAUUACUUGGUACAAAUUGCAAAAAGAAGAGGCACUAUAAGUUUGUGUGAUCAAAACAAGUGAAGUUGGUGAAAAACUUAAGGAUACUCCUCUGAUCGAACAAUCUCCAGCUCUCCCCAAAUCAUCAGCCGCAUCUUAUCAACCAAGAAACUUAUAAGUUUUAUCUUGGAGUUCUUGGGCUUUUUUGUGUACAGAGAACUAUGGAAGAACAACCGCAUUUCUUGCAAGUGUUGAAAGACAUUUUUAAACACUUUAGAAUUUUGAUUAUAGUAUUAGAUUAAUUUCAGCGGUUGUUUUAUUCAAAUGACCACAUCUUUUUUUUGUUAAUUUAAAGAUGGUGGUUAUAGACAAUGUUAUGUAUUUGAUAAUAUAUUUCUAUGUCAAUAUUAUGUUAGUUUCAAGACA
Molecule: long non-coding RNA, 621 nt
Organism: Quercus lobata
Lineage: Eukaryota; Viridiplantae; Streptophyta; Magnoliopsida; Fagales; Fagaceae
Exons: 5
Source: RefSeq, a predicted model, not a curated record